GUGCCUAAUACAUGCAAGUCGAACGAACGGAUUGAGGAGCUUGCUCUUCAAGAAGUUAGUGGCGGACGGGUGAGUAACACGUGGGUAACCUGCCCUUCAGCGGGGGAUAACAUCCGGAAACGGGUGCUAAUACCGCAUAGUUUCUUUUUCCGCCUGGAAGAAGAAGGAAAGAUGGCCUUUGUGCUAUCACUGAGGGAUGGACCCGCGGCGUAUUAGUUAGUUGGUGGGGUAAUGGGAUACCAAGACGAUGAUACGUAGCCGACCUGAGAGGGUGAUCGGCCACACUGGAACUGAGACACGGUCCAGACUCCUACGGGAGGCAGCAGUGGGGAAUAUUGCACAAUGGAGGAACUCUGAUGCAGCGACGCCGCGUGACGAUGAAGCUUCGGGUCGUAA
RNAcentral lists this ribosomal RNA (396 nucleotides) under uncultured prokaryote. RNAcentral's name for it is "bacterial SSU rRNA". It matches the Rfam family "Bacterial small subunit ribosomal RNA", at positions 44 to 428 of the family's 1533-position model. The record is from RNAcentral.